GGGUUCACAAAGAGAACGGGUUGGAGUGGGUUGGGAAUUGGCAUAAGCGGUGUCGGCAACUCCCGUCUCACGAUCCUGAGAAGGACCGCCGCCGCCAGCUCGCUGCGGUCGUCGCCGUGCCUCCGCUCCAGGCUCCAGCGUCUUCUCCUCCAUCGCCGGUAGCAGAUCCAGUAGAUCCAUGGAGGGGGAGGCAGGGUAGGCCAACGACGAUCUCCCCGAGUCUCCGUUCGUGGCUGGUCAAGCAAGCCGAGCAGCUAGCGACGAGCUCGGCCAAUCACCUGGACACUCGUCCCCUCCCGUUCCUGACCUGGCCCGUAAAUCAAACGGGGUCUAGGCGGCAUCGUCAUCCCCGACCCCGACCUUCGGCCUCCGCUACACUCCGGCUGGUAAGAGAGGUCGCUUCUCCUCUCCUUCCCCGCGCCGCCUUGCCACUUCUUCGCUUCCCGCCUGCUGCGCGUGUGGAUCUUGGUUCUUGGCUGGUGCAGCUGCCGCACAUUUGUGCCUGCUAGUGGAAUGUUGUCAAACUCUAGUGCCUUUACCUUUGUGCCUGCUGCCGCAGAUUGAUUAAUUUGCUUUUUCCUGCACCCUGCACUUGCAUUAUUGAUGCUGAUGGGUUAAGGUAAAGAAUGGGUAGAUAGCACUAGCACCAGCAGGUAGCAGCUGCAUACAUUCAGGACAAAAGGAAUUAUUUCUAGCCAUACCCCUUAGCACCGUUUCUUCAGAAUCCGCAUUCAGUUUAAGUGGUUCAAUUCUUGGUGACAACCGAAGCUCGAUGAUUCCACAAACACUUGAAGCUCUAGUUUGCUGCAAAGAUUGGCUUUAUAAAUACCAGUGAAGGUGUAAGUCUUCUAAUAUGUGCUUCAUAUUCAUGAAUGUUUCAACAUGUUCUCUUCCUAUUUAAACUUUGUAUUCUCAUGUUUUGGCAGGCUCGGGCAAAACAUGACACUACCAAUACUGCUGUUGCUGGCUGUGUCACAGGUGGAGCUUUAGCAGUAAAAGGAAGCUGCACCUUGGCUGGUAAAAAAGAAUUUUUGCUGUCUGCAAGCUGCUAUUGCUAUAGAAAUGCUGAUGCACACAAGGUUACUGAAUGAGCUACAGAUCAAACUGAAAACCCUUAACAGCUAUUUUGUUUGUUCACGGGCUGGUUGUGCAAGCAACAAUAAAGAACCACAAAAGGCUCCUGCUAAAGAGGAGGAUCCCCCGAAGGACGAGCCCAAGCUUUUAGUGGGAAGAGCUACUCCUUGAAAUGUUAGCUGCCCAUUACUAGAGUUUAGCCUUACAAAUCAUGUUCAGUGGUAGCUGUAGACCACUGUGUCUUAAGUGUCCACCAGCAUGUAGAUAUAAUUUGAAUUAUGUAAAUGUUUAUCUUCAUGGAAAUAUGGCCAUCUUUCUAUUCGAGUGCAAGUAUUCUAACGAUCUGCUACAUGUUAUCCUU
This is a long non-coding RNA of Panicum virgatum (switchgrass), 1435 nucleotides long. RefSeq lists it as uncharacterized. The transcript is spliced from 4 exons. Lineage: Eukaryota; Viridiplantae; Streptophyta; Magnoliopsida; Poales; Poaceae. The record is from RefSeq and is a predicted model, not a curated record.